RNAcentral lists this ribosomal RNA (459 nucleotides) under uncultured bacterium. RNAcentral's name for it is "partial 16S ribosomal RNA". It matches the Rfam family "Bacterial small subunit ribosomal RNA", at positions 338 to 795 of the family's 1533-position model. The record is from RNAcentral.
CCUACGGGUGGCUGCAGUGAGGAAUAUUGGUCAAUGGCCGGAAGGCUGAACCAGCCAAGCCGCGUGAAGGACGAAGGUGCCAAGCAUUGUAAACUUCUUUUGUCAAGGGACAAAAUCAGGCUCGAGAGCCUGACCGAGGGUACUUGAAGAAAAAGCAUCGGCUAACUCCGUGCCAGCAGCCGCGGUAAUACGGAGGAUGCGAGCGUUAUCCGGAUUUAUUGGGUUUAAAGGGUGCGUAGGCGGACUGUUAAGUCAGCGGUAAAAGCCCGGGGCUCAACCCCGGCGAGCCGUUGAAACUGGCUGUCUUGAGAUGUCGAGAGGUAUGCGGAAUGCGCAGUGUAGCGGUGAAAUGCGUAGAUAUCAGGAGGAAUACCGUUAGCGAAGGCGGCAAUCUGGCUGGAAACUGACGCUGAGGUGCGAAAGCGUGGGUAGCAAACAGGAUUAGAUACCCCGGUAGUC